Molecule: ribosomal RNA, 253 nt
Filed under: uncultured bacterium
Lineage: Bacteria
Description: partial 16S ribosomal RNA
Rfam family: Bacterial small subunit ribosomal RNA
Source: RNAcentral
UACGUAGGGUGCAAGCGUUAUUCGGAAUUAUUGGGCGUAAAGGGCGCGUAGGCGGCUUUGCAAGUGACGGGUGAAAUCCCUCAGCUUAACUGGGGAACUGCGUCUGAGACUGGCGAGCUUGAGGGCAGGAGAGGAACGCGGAAUUCCAGGUGUAGCGGUGAAAUGCGUAGAUAUCUGGAGGAACACCAAUGGCGAAGGCAGCUCGCUGGAACGGUACUGACGCUGAGGCGCGAAAGCGUGGGGAGCGAACAGG